Molecule: ribosomal RNA, 1053 nt
Filed under: Salmonella enterica subsp. enterica serovar Agona
Lineage: Bacteria; Pseudomonadati; Pseudomonadota; Gammaproteobacteria; Enterobacterales; Enterobacteriaceae
Description: partial 23S ribosomal RNA
Rfam family: Bacterial large subunit ribosomal RNA
Source: RNAcentral
AAUCCAUAGGUUAAUGAGGCGAACCGGGGGAACUGAAACAUCUAAGUACCCCGAGGAAAAGAAAUCAACCGAGAUUCCCCCAGUAGCGGCGAGCGAACGGGGAGGAGCCCAGAGCCUGAAUCAGCAUGUGUGUUAGUGGAAGCGUCUGGAAAGGCGCGCGAUACAGGGUGACAGCCCCGUACACAAAAGCGCAUGUGCUGUGAGCUCGAUGAGUAGGGCGGGACACGUGGUAUCCUGUCUGAAUAUGGGGGGACCAUCCUCCAAGGCUAAAUACUCCUGACUGACCGAUAGUGAACCAGUACCGUGAGGGAAAGGCGAAAAGAACCCCGGCGAGGGGAGUGAAAAAGAACCUGAAACCGUGUACGUACAAGCAGUGGGAGCACAGGUUUACCUGUGUGACUGCGUACCUUUUGUAUAAUGGGUCAGCGACUUAUAUUCUGUAGCAAGGUUAACCGUAUAGGGGAGCCGCAGGGAAACCGAGUCUUAACCGGGCGUUAAGUUGCAGGGUAUAGACCCGAAACCCGGUGAUCUAGCCAUGGGCAGGUUGAAGGUUGGGUAACACUAACUGGAGGACCGAACCGACUAAUGUUGAAAAAUUAGCGGAUGACCUGUGGCUGGGGGUGAAAGGCCAAUCAAACCGGGAGAUAGCUGGUUCUCCCCGAAAGCUAUUUAGGUAGCGCCUCGUGAAUUCAUCUCCGGGGGUAGAGCACUGUUUCGGCUAGGGGGCCAUCCCGGCUUACCAACCCGAUGCAAACUGCGAAUACCGGAGAAUGUUAUCACGGGAGACACACGGCGGGUGCUAACGUCCGUCGUGAAGAGGGAAACAACCCAGACCGCCAGCUAAGGUCCCAAAGUCAUGGUUAAGUGGGAAACGAUGUGGGAAGGCCCAGACAGCCAGGAUGUUGGCUUAGAAGCAGCCAUCAUUUAAAGAAAGCGUAAUAGCUCACUGGUCGAGUCGGCCUGCGCGGAAGAUGUAACGGGGCUAAACCAUGCACCGAAGCUGCGGCAGCGACACUCAGGUGUUGUUGGGUAGGGGAGCGUUCUGUAAGCCUG